GAUGAAGAACGCAGCGAAAUGCGAUACGUAAUGUGAAUUGCAGAAUUCAGUGAAUCAUCGAAUCUUUGAACGCACAUUGCACUCUCUGGUAUUCCGGAGAGUAUGCUUGUUUGAGUAUCAGUAAACACCUCAAAUCUCUUGUUUCUUGUGAAUAAGAGAAUUGGACUUGAGCAAUCCCAACUCUUGCAAAAGAGGCGGGUUGCUUGAAAUGCAGGUGCAGCUGGACAUUCUUCUGAGCUAAAAGCAUAUUUAUUUAGUCCCGUAAAACGGAUUAUUACUUUUGCUGUAGCUAACAUAAAGGUUGAAUGGCCAAUAUGGCUGACUGAUGCAGGAUUAACAGAGAAUUUAUUCUUUGUAAACUCGAUCUCAAAUCAAGUAAGACUACCCGCUGAACUUAAGCAUAUCAAUAAGCGGAGGA
Molecule: unclassified non-coding RNA, 418 nt
Filed under: soil metagenome
Description: partial contains 5.8S ribosomal RNA, internal transcribed spacer 2, and large subunit ribosomal RNA
Rfam family: 5.8S ribosomal RNA (bases 1-120)
Source: RNAcentral